GACGGAAGGUGCAAGCGUUGCUCGGAAUCACUGGGCGUAAAGGGUGCGUAGGCGGCCGUGCAAGUCUGGCGUGAAAGCCCCGGGCUCAGCCCGGGAAGUGCGCUCGAAGCUGCGCGGCUCGAGUGCCGGAGGGGAGAGUGGAAUUCCUGGUGUAGCGGUGAAAUGCGUAGAUAUCAGGAGGAACACCAAUUGCGAAGGCAGCUCGCUGGGACGUUACUGACGCUGAGACGCGAAAGCGUGGGGAGCAAACAGG
This 253-nucleotide ribosomal RNA is filed under the name uncultured bacterium. RNAcentral describes it as "partial 16S ribosomal RNA". It matches the Rfam family "Bacterial small subunit ribosomal RNA", at positions 524 to 776 of the family's 1533-position model. The record is from RNAcentral.